RNAcentral lists this ribosomal RNA (430 nucleotides) under Verrucomicrobiota bacterium. RNAcentral's name for it is "Verrucomicrobia bacterium partial 16S ribosomal RNA". It matches the Rfam family "Bacterial small subunit ribosomal RNA", at positions 355 to 776 of the family's 1533-position model. The record is from RNAcentral. Lineage: Bacteria; Pseudomonadati; Verrucomicrobiota.
UAGGGAAUCUUCGGCAAUGGGGGGAACCCUGACCGAGCAACGCCGCGUGAGUGAAGAAGGUUUUCGGAUCGUAAAGCUCUGUUGUUAAGGAAGAACGAGUGUGAGAAUGGAAAGUUCAUGCUGUGACGGUACUUAACCAGAAAGGGACGGCUAACUACGUGCCAGCAGCCGCGGUAAUACGGAAGGUCCGGGCGUUAUCCGGAUUUAUUGGGUUUAAAGGGAGCGUAGGCUGUCUAUUAAGCGUGUUGUGAAAUUUACCGGCUCAACCGGUGGCUUGCAGCGCGAACUGGUCGAAUUGAGUAUGCAGGAAGUAGGCGGAAUUCAUGGUGUAGCGGUGAAAUGCUUAGAUAUCAUGACGAACUCCGAUUGCGCAGGCAGCUUACUGUAGCAUAACUGACGCUGAAGAUCGAAAGUGCGGGUAUCAAACAGG